GUGCUUUGGCAGCACAUAUACUAAAAUUGGAAGAAUACAGGGAAGAUUAGCAUGGCCCCUGCGCAGGAUGACACACAAAUUGGUGAGGCAUUCCGUUGUUUU
RNAcentral lists this small nuclear RNA (102 nucleotides) under Dasypus novemcinctus (nine-banded armadillo). Lineage: Eukaryota; Metazoa; Chordata; Mammalia; Cingulata; Dasypodidae. The record is from RNAcentral.